Long non-coding RNA from Anolis carolinensis (green anole), 1179 nucleotides. RefSeq lists it as uncharacterized. The record is from RefSeq and is a predicted model, not a curated record. Lineage: Eukaryota; Metazoa; Chordata; Lepidosauria; Squamata; Anolidae. The transcript is spliced from 2 exons.
UAGCUUUGGGACAGUUAACAGCUUUCGGCCUACACUUUGGUAAUCCAAAACACCACUGCCACCACCAGAAAGGCCGGACCUGGACCAAACUUGACACACACAACCCCAUGAACUCACUGACAACGGAUGGCCCCCUUUGGCCCCUCUGCUGACAUGUUUAAGGCCUUCCAGGCUGGCCCCUCGCUGCUAGGCCGAAAAGGAGGACGCCAUCUUGCCUCAGCUUUCAACUUCUUUGUAAGGCCCUACUUUCCUCAAAAGACAGCAGAGAACAUUGUUAUUAUCUUUUUAACGAUAUGCCUAUGAACACUUCUAGCCCCCAAAGCCCCAAUCCAAGCCUACUUUGAUCAAUUUGCUAACACGUUUCAGGCCUUGCAGCCUGGCUCCAUUGUGCUAGGCCGCAAAAGAGGCAGCCAUCUUCCCUGUUCCACAUGGUUCCAAACAGAGCAGCUUUUGCCUGUGUCUUUUGGAUACAGCAGUCUCCUUAAACAAGGUUGGCAGAAGCUUGGGCUAACAGUGGGAGUUCACCCCGCUCCCUGGAUUUGAACCACCGACCUUUCAGUCAGCAAGUUCAGCAGCUCAGUGGUUUAACCUGCUGCCCCACUGGGGCUCCAAUAUUGGCUGAAGUUACACUUAAAAUAUAACUGUUCCGACUUACAAAUAAAUUCAACAAGAGCAAACCUACAGAACCUAACUUGCUUGUAACUUGGGUACUGCCUGUACAGUUGACUAUUUGCUAUCAUAUACCUUCCAAUUGUCCUAACUUCACAGGGAUACUCUCAGUUAAUCCUCUUUUGUACCACUUUUUGAACUGCUUUCUUCUCCUUAGACUUUCUUCAAUUGCUGCAAACUGUGUUCAAAGUGCAAAAGUACCUUACAUUCCAUUCAUCAAGGGAAAAGGACAGGAGAAGCUGAAGCCCUGUCUUUCUCAGUAACAUGAAGCAAAAUCAUACUGCUGCAGCCACUCCUAGCUUAUCAUUUAUAGCUUUUGCCAUCUUGACAAUGUUCCGAUGUCCCUGGGCUACCUAUGUCCUGAUUUUCAUCUGUGAAAUUCUGAAGAUAUCCCACAAGAAACUGAUAGCCAUUCAUUUGGAGCUGCACACUCAGUAAGGAAUUAUAUUAUAUUUUCCUUUGUGAUUGACAUUGUUUGCAUAUUGAAUAAAAAUCAGUACUUAAGUUCAA